CAUGCAGUCGAGGGGCAGCAUGACCUAGCAAUAGGUUGAUGGCGACCGGCGCACGGGUGAGUAACACGUAUCCAACCUACCGGUUAUUCCGGGAUAGCCUUUCGAAAGAAAGAUUAAUACCGGAUAGUAUAACGAGAAGGCAUCUUUUUGUUAUUAAAGAAUUUCGAUAACCGAUGGGGAUGCGUUCCAUUAGUUUGUUGGCGGGGUAACGGCCCACCAAGACAUCGAUGGAUAGGGGUUCUGAGAGGAAGGUCCCCCACGUUGGAACUGAGACACGGUCCAAACUCCUACGGGAGGCAGCAGUGAGGAAUAUUGGUCAAUGGACGAGAGUCUGAACCAGCCAAGUAGCGUGAAGGAUGACUGCCCUAUGGGUUGUAAACUUCUUUUAUAUGGGAAUAAAGUGAGCCACGUGUGGCUUUUUGUAUGUACCAUACGAAUAAGGAUCGGCUAACUCCGUGCCAGCAGCCGCGGUAAUACGGAGGAUCCGAGCGUUAUCCGGAUUUAUUGGGUUUAAAGGGAGCGUAGGCGGACUAUUAAGUCAGCUGUGAAAGUUUGCGGCUCAACCGUAAAAUUGCAGUUGAUACUGGUCGUCUUGAGUGCAGUAGAGGUAGGCGGAAUUCGUGGUGUAGCGGUGAAAUGCUUAGAUAUCACGAAGAACUCCGAUUGCGAAGGCAGCUUACUGGACUGUAACUGACGCUGAUG
RNAcentral lists this ribosomal RNA (702 nucleotides) under uncultured bacterium. RNAcentral describes it as "bacterial SSU rRNA". It matches the Rfam family "Bacterial small subunit ribosomal RNA", at positions 54 to 751 of the family's 1533-position model. The record is from RNAcentral.